This 393-nucleotide ribosomal RNA is filed under the name uncultured bacterium. RNAcentral describes it as "partial 16S ribosomal RNA". It matches the Rfam family "Bacterial small subunit ribosomal RNA", at positions 523 to 918 of the family's 1533-position model. The record is from RNAcentral.
AUACGGAGGAUGCAAGCGCUAUCCGGAUUUAUUGGGUUUAAAGGGUGCGUAGGCGGUUUGCUAAGCGGGAGGUGAAAUGCCGGCGCUCAACGUCGGAAGUGCCUCCCGAACUGGUGGACUUGAAUGACUCUGCCGUGGGAGGAAUGUGUAGUGUAGCGGUGAAAUGCUUAGAGAUUACACAGAACACCGAUUGCGAAGGCAUCUCACGAAGGGUUGAUUGACGCUGAGGCACGAAAGCGUGGGGAUCAAACAGGAUUAGAUACCCUGGUAGUCCACGCAGUAAACGAUGAUGGCUAACCGCUGGGCUUAUCAGUUCAGUGGCCAAGCGAAAGCGAUAAGCCAUCCACCUGGGGAGUACGACCGCAAGGUUGAAACUCAAAUGAAUUGACGGGG